UAGAUUAAGUUAUUAAGGGCGCACGGUGGAUGCCUUGGCACUAGAAGCCGAUGAAGGACGUUACUAACGACGAUAUGCUUUGGGGAGCUGUAAGUAAGCUUUGAUCCAGAGAUUUCCGAAUGGGGAAACCCAGCAUGAGUUAUGUCAUGUUAUCGAUAUGUGAAUACAUAGCAUAUCAGAAGGCACACCCGGAGAACUGAAACAUCUUAGUACCCGGAGGAAGAGAAAGAAAAUUCGAUUCCCUUAGUAGCGGCGAGCGAAACGGGAAGAGCCCAAACCAACAAGCUUGCUUGUUGGGGUUGUAGGACACUCUAUACGGAGUUACAAAGGACGACAUUAGACGAAUCAUCUGGAAAGAUGAAUCAAAGAAGGUAAUAAUCCUGUAGUCGAAAAUGUUGUCUCUCUUGAGUGGAUCCUGAGUACGACGGAGCACGUGAAAUUCCGUCGGAAUCUGGGAGGACCAUCUCCUAAGGCUAAAUACUCUCUAGUGACCGAUAGUGAACCAGUACCGUGAGGGAAAGGUGAAAAGCACCCCGGAAGGGGAGUGAAAUAGAACCUGAAACCGUGUGCUUACAAGUAGUCAGAGCCCGUUAAUGGGUGAUGGCGUGCCUUUUGUAGAAUGAACCGGCGAGUUACGAUUUGAUGCAAGGUUAAGCAGUAAAUGUGGAGCCGUAGCGAAAGCGAGUCUGAAUAGGGCGUUUAGUAUUUGGUCGUAGACCCGAAACCAGGUGAUCUACCCUUGGUCAGGUUGAAGUUCAGGUAACACUGAAUGGAGGACCGAACCGACUUACGUUGAAAAGUGAGCGGAUGAACUGAGGGUAGCGGAGAAAUUCCAAUCGAACCUGGAGAUAGCUGGUUCUCUCCGAAAUAGCUUUAGGGCUAGCCUCAAGUGAUGAUUAUUGGAGGUAGAGCACUGUUUGGACGAGGGGCCCCUCUCGGGUUACCGAAUUCAGACAAACUCCGAAUGCCAAUUAAUUUAACUUGGGAGUCAGAACAUGGGUGAUAAGGUCCGUGUUCGAAAGGGAAACAGCCCAGACCACCAGCUAAGGUCCCAAAAUAUAUGUUAAGUGGAAAAGGAUGUGGCGUUGCCCAGACAACUAGGAUGUUGGCUUAGAAGCAGCCAUCAUUUAAAGAGUGCGUAAUAGCUCACUAGUCGAGUGACACUGCGCCGAAAAUGUACCGGGGCUAAACAUAUUACCGAAGCUGUGGAUUGUCCUUUGGACAAUGGUAGGAGAGCGUUCUAAGGGCGUUGAAGCAUGAUCGUAAGGACAUGUGGAGCGCUUAGAAGUGAGAAUGCCGGUGUGAGUAGCGAAAGACGGGUGAGAAUCCCGUCCACCGAUUGACUAAGGUUUCCAGAGGAAGGCUCGUCCGCUCUGGGUUAGUCGGGUCCUAAGCUGAGGCCGACAGGCGUAGGCGAUGGAUAACAGGUUGAUAUUCCUGUACCACCUAUAAUCGUUUUAAUCGAUGGGGGGACGCAGUAGGAUAGGCGAAGCGUGCGAUUGGAUUGCACGUCUAAGCAGUAAGGCUGAGUAUUAGGCAAAUCCGGUACUCGUUAAGGCUGAGCUGUGAUGGGGAGAAGACAUUGUGUCUUCGAGUCGUUGAUUUCACACUGCCGAGAAAAGCCUCUAGAUAGAAAAUAGGUGCCCGUACCGCAAACCGACACAGGUAGUCAAGAUGAGAAUUCUAAGGUGAGCGAGCGAACUCUCGUUAAGGAACUCGGCAAAAUGACCCCGUAACUUCGGGAGAAGGGGUGCUCUUUAGGGUUAACGCCCAGAAGAGCCGCAGUGAAUAGGCCCAAGCGACUGUUUAUCAAAAACACAGGUCUCUGCUAAACCGUAAGGUGAUGUAUAGGGGCUGACGCCUGCCCGGUGCUGGAAGGUUAAGAGGAGUGGUUAGCUUCUGCGAAGCUACGAAUCGAAGCCCCAGUAAACGGCGGCCGUAACUAUAACGGUCCUAAGGUAGCGAAAUUCCUUGUCGGGUAAGUUCCGACCCGCACGAAAGGCGUAACGAUUUGGGCACUGUCUCAACGAGAGACUCGGUGAAAUCAUAGUACCUGUGAAGAUGCAGGUUACCCGCGACAGGACGGAAAGACCCCGUGGAGCUUUACUGUAGCCUGAUAUUGAAAUUCGGCACAGCUUGUACAGGAUAGGUAGGAGCCUUUGAAACGUGAGCGCUAGCUUACGUGGAGGCGCUGGUGGGAUACUACCCUAGCUGUGUUGGCUUUCUAACCCGCACCACUUAUCGUGGUGGGAGACAGUGUCAGGCGGGCAGUUUGACUGGGGCGGUCGCCUCCUAAAAGGUAACGGAGGCGCUCAAAGGUUCCCUCAGAAUGGUUGGAAAUCAUUCAUAGAGUGUAAAGGCAUAAGGGAGCUUGACUGCGAGACCUACAAGUCGAGCAGGGUCGAAAGACGGACUUAGUGAUCCGGUGGUUCCGCAUGGAAGGGCCAUCGCUCAACGGAUAAAAGCUACCCCGGGGAUAACAGGCUUAUCUCCCCCAAGAGUUCACAUCGACGGGGAGGUUUGGCACCUCGAUGUCGGCUCAUCGCAUCCUGGGGCUGUAGUCGGUCCCAAGGGUUGGGCUGUUCGCCCAUUAAAGCGGUACGCGAGCUGGGUUCAGAACGUCGUGAGACAGUUCGGUCCCUAUCCGUCGUGGGCGUAGGAAAUUUGAGAGGAGCU
RNAcentral lists this ribosomal RNA (2676 nucleotides) under Staphylococcus aureus. RNAcentral describes it as "bacterial LSU rRNA". It matches the Rfam family "Bacterial large subunit ribosomal RNA". The record is from RNAcentral. Lineage: Bacteria; Bacillati; Bacillota; Bacilli; Caryophanales; Staphylococcaceae.